GAUGAACGCUGGCGGCGUGCCUAAUACAUGCAAGUCGAGCGAACGGACGAGAAGCUUGCUUCUCUGAUGUUAGCGGCGGACGGGUGAGUAACACGUGGAUAACCUACCUAUAAGACUGGGAUAACUUCGGGAAACCGGAGCUAAUACCGGAUGAUAUUUUGAACCGCAUGGUUCAAAAGUGAAAGACGGUCUUGCUGUCACUUAUAGAUGGAUCCGCGCUGCAUUAGCUAGUUGGUAAGGUAAUGGCUUACCAAGGCAACGAUGCAUAGCCGACCUGAGAGGGUGAUCGGCCACACUGGAACUGAGACACGGUCCAGGCUCCUACGGGAGGCAGCAGUAGGGAAUCUUCCGCAAUGGGCGAAAGCCUGACGGAGCAACGCCGCGUGAGUGAUGAAGGUCUUCGGAUCGUAAAACUCUGUUAUUAGGGAAGAACAUAUGUGUAAGUAACUGUGCACAUCUUGACGGUACCUAAUCAGAAAGCCACGGCUAACUACGUG
This 497-nucleotide ribosomal RNA is filed under the name uncultured bacterium. Its description in RNAcentral is "partial 16S ribosomal RNA". It matches the Rfam family "Bacterial small subunit ribosomal RNA", at positions 28 to 507 of the family's 1533-position model. The record is from RNAcentral.